GUAAGUGGCAAGCGUUGUCCGGAAUUAUUGGGCGUAAAGCGCGCGCAGGCGGUUCUUUAAGUCUGAUGUGAAAGCCCACGGCUCAACCGUGGAGGGUCAUUGGAAACUGGAGAACUUGAGUACAGAAGAGGAAAGCGGAAUUCCACGUGUAGCGGUGAAAUGCGUAGAGAUGUGGAGGAACACCAGUGGCGAAGGCGGCUUUCUGGUCUGUAACUGGCGCUGAGGCGCGAAAGCGUGGGGAGCAAACAGGGAUUAGAUACCCUGGUAGUCCACGCCGUAAACGAUGAGUGCUAAGUGUUAGGGGGUUUCCGCCCCCUUAGUGCUGCAGCCAACGCAUUAAGCACUCCGCCUGGGGAGUACGGCCGCAAGGCUG
This 373-nucleotide ribosomal RNA is filed under the name uncultured organism. Its description in RNAcentral is "partial 16S ribosomal RNA". It matches the Rfam family "Bacterial small subunit ribosomal RNA", at positions 527 to 896 of the family's 1533-position model. The record is from RNAcentral.